This 721-nucleotide ribosomal RNA is filed under the name uncultured Veillonella sp. Its description in RNAcentral is "bacterial SSU rRNA". It matches the Rfam family "Bacterial small subunit ribosomal RNA", at positions 52 to 743 of the family's 1533-position model. Lineage: Bacteria; Bacillati; Bacillota; Negativicutes; Veillonellales; Veillonellaceae. The record is from RNAcentral.
CACAUGCAAGUCGAACGAAGAGCGAUGGAAGCUUGCUUCUAUCAAUCUUAGUGGCGAACGGGUGAGUAACGCGUAAUCAACCUGCCCUUCAGAGGGGGACAACAGUUGGAAACGACUGCUAAUACCGCAUACGAUCCAAUCUCGGCAUCGAGACUGGAUGAAAGGUGGCCUCUAUUUAUAAGCUAUCACUGAAGGAGGGGAUUGCGUCUGAUUAGCUAGUUGGAGGGGUAACGGCCCACCAAGGCGAUGAUCAGUAGCCGGUCUGAGAGGAUGAACGGCCACAUUGGGACUGAGACACGGCCCAGACUCCUACGGGAGGCAGCAGUGGGGAAUCUUCCGCAAUGGACGAAAGUCUGACGGAGCAACGCCGCGUGAGUGAUGACGGCCUUCGGGUUGUAAAGCUCUGUUAAUCGGGACGAAUGGUUCUUGUGCAAAUAGUGCGAGGAUUUGACGGUACCGGAAUAGAAAGCCACGGCUAACUACGUGCCAGCAGCCGCGGUAAUACGUAGGUGGCAAGCGUUGUCCGGAAUUAUUGGGCGUAAAGCGCGCGCAGGCGGAUUGGUCAGUCUGUCUUAAAAGUUCGGGGCUUAACCCCGUGAUGGGAUGGAAACUGCCAAUCUAGAGUAUCGGAGAGGAAAGUGGAAUUCCUAGUGUAGCGGUGAAAUGCGUAGAUAUUAGGAAGAACACCAGUGGCGAAGGCGACUUUCUGGACGAAAACUGA